This 66-nucleotide transfer RNA is filed under the name Loxosomella aloxiata. RNAcentral's name for it is "tRNA-Asp". The record is from RNAcentral. Lineage: Eukaryota; Metazoa; Entoprocta; Loxosomatidae.
GAAAGAUUAGUUAAAAUAUAAUAAAAGCUUGUCAGGCUUUAGUAUCUAGCUAUUUAGAAUUUUUCU